RNAcentral lists this ribosomal RNA (433 nucleotides) under uncultured bacterium. RNAcentral's name for it is "partial 16S ribosomal RNA". It matches the Rfam family "Bacterial small subunit ribosomal RNA", at positions 29 to 507 of the family's 1533-position model. The record is from RNAcentral.
AACGAACGCUGGCGGCAUGCCUAACACAUGCAAGUCGAACGAGACCUUCGGGCCUAGUGGCGCACGGGUGCGUAACGCGUGGGAACCUGCCCUUAGGUUCGGAAUAACUCCCCGAAAGGGGUGCUAAUACCGGAUAAUGUCUUCGGACCAAAGAUUUAUCGCCUUUGGAUGGGCCCGCGUUGGAUUAGCUGGUUGGUAGGGUAAAAGCCUACCAAGGCGACGAUCCAUAGCUGGUCUGAGAGGAUGAUCAGCCACACUGGGACUGAGACACGGCCCAGACUCCUACGGGAGGGAGCAGUGGGGAAUAUUGGGCAAUGGGCGAAAGCCUGAUCCAGCAGUGCCGCGUGAGUGAUGAAGGCCUUAGGGUUGUAAAGCUCUUUUACCCGGGAUGAUAAUGACAGUACCGGGAGAAUAAGCUCCGGCUAACUCCGUG